GUGUUCGUAGAAAGGAGAGACGGUUGGCAUCUCCCCUGACAGGGACGGGAACAGCCUUCGGGCUUUACCUCUUAUUAGACACAUCCGGUUAAGGCUAUCCACUUCGGUGGAUCUUACCCAAUUUUUUU
Small nuclear RNA from Nicotiana attenuata, 128 nucleotides. NCBI's taxonomy places the organism in Eukaryota, Viridiplantae, Streptophyta, Magnoliopsida, Solanales, Solanaceae. The record is from Rfam.